Molecule: small nuclear RNA, 151 nt
Organism: Apodemus sylvaticus (European woodmouse)
Lineage: Eukaryota; Metazoa; Chordata; Mammalia; Rodentia; Muridae
Product: U12 minor spliceosomal RNA
Exons: 1
Source: RefSeq, a predicted model, not a curated record
AUGCCUUAAACUUAUGAGUAAGGAAAAUAAUGAUUCGGGGUGAUGUCCGAGUCCUCGCUGCUUAUGUGAGACCAAUUUUUGAAUGGGUUAAGGUUGAUAUCUAAGGCGACCUGCCUGCUUUGUGGGAUGCCUAGGUAUCUUGAUCUGCCAG